UUGGUUAUUAUCUUGAAUACUAUUAUAGAUAGAGAUAAACUGUAAACAGCAAUAAUGUUCAGCAAAGUAAGAUCUACAAAUAAGUCAAACAUGACCAAAAUUGUCAGAGAACUCCUUAAGGAGUUAUUGUCCUUUAUAGUCAAUAUUGAACAACUUUUCGUCAUUUUUGUAAUCUUCUUUUCUAAAACUAUGGGCCAAAUUUAACCAAACUUGGCCACAAUCAUUACUAGGGUAUCUAUUUUUAAAAAGUGUCUAACGACCCUGCCUGCCAACCAAGAUGGCCGAC
This 286-nucleotide long non-coding RNA is filed under the name Mytilus galloprovincialis (Mediterranean mussel). The record is from RNAcentral. Lineage: Eukaryota; Metazoa; Mollusca; Bivalvia; Mytilida; Mytilidae.